RNAcentral lists this long non-coding RNA (232 nucleotides) under Homo sapiens (human). Its description in RNAcentral is "HSALNT0353355". Lineage: Eukaryota; Metazoa; Chordata; Mammalia; Primates; Hominidae. The record is from RNAcentral.
AACUUACACUUUAAUAUAAACCUUUGGUGCGUGCCCAUUUAUUCCGUCUUCUGUCCUGUGACUGCGGCCAGGUGUUUCAGUCUCACAUUUUAUCUCUGGAUUCUCCCCUUCCCCUCUGUGGUGAUCAAGACCCAAAGACAGGGAGCCUGGAAGAUAAACUGAGUUCUGAAUCCAGUCGAAAGCACAGAUGGGGGCCAGCGAGAAUUAAUAAAACUACAAAAAAAAAAAAAAA